AUCGCUUCCGGCCUUUGUCCUAAGAUCAAGUGUAGCUAUUGUUUUAUCAUGCUUUAAUAUCUGAUAGUCCCUACCCGGGGACCAUAUAUUAAAUUGAUUUUGGAGCAGGGAGAGGAUGGAAUAUAGGGCUUGCUCCGUCCACUCCACGCAUCGACCCGGUAUUGCAGUACUUCCGCGGACGGUUGCUGCACCC
This is a small nuclear RNA of Ictalurus punctatus (channel catfish), 193 nucleotides long. Its record names the gene U2. It matches the Rfam family "U2 spliceosomal RNA". Rfam says of the family: U2 is a small nuclear RNA (snRNA) component of the spliceosome (involved in pre-mRNA splicing). Complementary binding between U2 snRNA (in an area lying towards the 5' end but 3' to hairpin I) and the branchpoint sequence (BPS) of the intron results the bulging out of an unpaired adenosine, on the BPS, which initiates a nucleophilic attack at the intronic 5' splice site, thus starting the first of two transesterification reactions that mediate splicing. NCBI's taxonomy places the organism in Eukaryota, Metazoa, Chordata, Actinopteri, Siluriformes, Ictaluridae. The record is from Ensembl.